AGGCCAUCAGGCUAAGGGCACGCCUGCCUGGGCGUCGUGUGCUGCAUCUCUUUUGCCAAUGCUUGCCCGACAUACAAUUAGGCCAGUAUUGCAUAGAUAUGAAAGAUUGACCCCUUGUGCUUAGGUGCGGUGGGUCUAAGGAUUGGUGUUUUGAUGUCCCGAACCCCGGC
Molecule: ribosomal RNA, 170 nt
Filed under: Cypripedium passerinum
Lineage: Eukaryota; Viridiplantae; Streptophyta; Magnoliopsida; Asparagales; Orchidaceae
Description: 5.8S ribosomal RNA
Source: RNAcentral